UUUCAUAAAGAAAGUUUGUUCCCUUGGAGUUAUUUUAUCUUCUUCAUUUGACUUCUCCUUUUGACUACAAUAGUCAUGGUCCCUAAACUCCCACUAUCUCUCUUGAAACUUAUUUCAAUUGUGUUAUACACAUCAAACAUUUGGAGAGCAUGUGGUUAUUUUUCACUAUAUAGUUUACAAUAAACUUAGUGAACCAUAAGAAUAGGGACACAAAGGUGAAGUCCUUGCCUAGUUUCCGUCUCGUUAAGUGGUUUAUCACUUCAACAUUCAAUGAUUCAAAAUCAUCAUAAGUCCAUGUUGAUGGACUAUUUUUGUCAACCAACCAUUAUGUUCUAAACA
Molecule: long non-coding RNA, 339 nt
Filed under: Malus domestica (apple)
Lineage: Eukaryota; Viridiplantae; Streptophyta; Magnoliopsida; Rosales; Rosaceae
Description: long non-coding RNA (MDOM_LNC003736)
Source: RNAcentral